GAUGAACGCUGGCGGCGUGCCUAAUACAUGCAAGUCGAGCGAACGGACGAGAAGCUUGCUUCUCUGAUGUUAGCGGCGGACGGGUGAGUAACACGUGGAUAACCUACCUAUAAGACUGGGAUAACUUCGGGAAACCGGAGCUAAUACCGGAUAAUAUUUUGAACCGCAUGGUUCAAAAGUGAAAGACGGUCUUGCUGUCACUUAUAGAUGGAUCCGCGCUGCAUUAGCUAGUUGGUAAGGUAACGGCCUACCAAGGCAACGAUGCAUAGCCGACCUGAGAGGGUGAUCGGCCACACUGGAACUGAGACACGGUCCAGACUCCUACGGGAGGCAGCAGUGGGGAAUCUUCCGCAAUGGGCGAAAGCCUGACGGAGCAACGCCGCGUGAGUGAUGAAGGUCUUCGGAUUGUAAAACUCUGUUAUUAGGGAAGAAAAUAUGUGUAAGUAACUGUGCACAUCUUGACGGUACCUAAUCAGAAAGCCACGGCUAACUUCGUG
Molecule: ribosomal RNA, 497 nt
Filed under: uncultured bacterium
Lineage: Bacteria
Description: partial 16S ribosomal RNA
Rfam family: Bacterial small subunit ribosomal RNA
Source: RNAcentral